This 228-nucleotide ribosomal RNA is filed under the name Clostridioides difficile. RNAcentral's name for it is "partial 23S ribosomal RNA". It matches the Rfam family "Bacterial large subunit ribosomal RNA", at positions 2497 to 2724 of the family's 2925-position model. Lineage: Bacteria; Bacillati; Bacillota; Clostridia; Peptostreptococcales; Peptostreptococcaceae. The record is from RNAcentral.
AGUCCACAUCGACGGGGAGGUUUGGCACCUCGAUGUCGGCUCAUCACAUCCUGGGGCUGUAGUAGGUCCCAAGGGUUGGGCUGUUCGCCCAUGAAAGUGGUACGCGAGCUGGGUUCAGAACGUCGUGGGACAGUUCGGUCCCUAUCCGUCGCAGGCGUAGGAAAUUUGAGAAGACCUGUCCUUAGUACGAGAGGACCGGGAUGGACGUACCUCUGGUGUACCAGUUGU